UUCAGAUCAACUAAUAUCCAGAACCUCCUAGAGAAAGAGAGAGAAGAGAGAGAGAAAAAAAAAACCAAGAUUUGAUCAAAAUCUGAGCUCCGAAUCUCAAAGCUCGUGAAGAGGAAAGUGUAGUACGAGUUGUCAUCGUCAUCUUAAGCUAAAUAUUGACCUUGGGGAAGGAUACUUUCGUGGUUGAGCUACUGCUAAGGUAUAUAUGCUCUUGUACAAGCUAAGAGGAAUUAUUUGACGAAGUGGACUUUGGUUGGUCUAUGGCGUAGAUGAUUUGAACUCCUCGAGUUGUGGUAGAACUUGUUGUGUGGUAAAACGCCGAGGUAAUGUGCGAGAUGAGGUAUGAAGAUGGCCACUGAGUAUACUUUUGGGAGCCUUAGUGAAGAUCACAUGUGCAUAUGUAUUUAGUUUUUGUAAACUUUUUGGGGACUUGUACAUGAUACAGGUGUGGCACUUAUGUAUGAAAUUUUGGAAGCUUGUGGAAAACAAGACCAUGUGCUUGUAACUUAAACUUGGUGA
This is a long non-coding RNA of Lycium ferocissimum, 519 nucleotides long. RefSeq lists it as uncharacterized. NCBI's taxonomy places the organism in Eukaryota, Viridiplantae, Streptophyta, Magnoliopsida, Solanales, Solanaceae. The record is from RefSeq and is a predicted model, not a curated record. The transcript is spliced from 3 exons.